GACGGAGGAUGCAAGCGUUAUCCGGAAUGAUUGGGCGUAAAGCGUCCGCAGGUGGCAGUUCAAGUCUGCUGUCAAAGACCGGGGCUUAACUUCGGAAAGGCAGUGGAAACUGAACAGCUAGAGUAUGGUAGGGGCAGAGGGAAUUCCUGGUGUAGCGGUCGAAAAUGCGCAGAUAUCAGGAGGAACACCGGUGGCGAAGGCGGUUCUCUGGGAAGUGACCUGACGCUGAGGAGCGAAAGCGUGGGGAGCGAACAGG
This 256-nucleotide ribosomal RNA is filed under the name uncultured bacterium. Its description in RNAcentral is "partial 16S ribosomal RNA". It matches the Rfam family "Bacterial small subunit ribosomal RNA", at positions 524 to 776 of the family's 1533-position model. The record is from RNAcentral.